GAUGAACGCUGGCGGCGUGCCUAAUACAUGCAAGUCGAGCGAACAGACGAGGAGCUUGCUCCUCUGACGUUAGCGGCGGACGUGUGAGUAACACGUGUAUAACCUACUUAUAAGACUGGGAUAACUUCGGGAAACCGGAGCUAAUACCGGAUAAUCUAUUGCACCGCAUGGUUCAAUAGUGAAAGUCGGUUUUUCUGUCACUUAUAGAUGGUUCCGCGCGGCAUUGGCUAGUUGGUAAGGUCACGGGUUACCACGGCAACGCUGCCUGACCGACCUGAGAGAGGGAUCGGCCACACUGGAACUGAGACACGGUCCAGACUCCUACGGGAGGGAGCAGAAGGGAAUGGUACGCAAUGGGCGGAAGCCUGACGGAGCAAGGCGGCGUGAGUGAUAAAGGCGUCCGGAUCGUAAAACUCUGUUAUGAGGGAAGAACAAAUGUGUAAGUAACUAUGCACGUAUUGACGGUACCUAAUAAAAAAGCCACGGCUAACUACGUG
This 497-nucleotide ribosomal RNA is filed under the name uncultured bacterium. Its description in RNAcentral is "partial 16S ribosomal RNA". It matches the Rfam family "Bacterial small subunit ribosomal RNA", at positions 28 to 507 of the family's 1533-position model. The record is from RNAcentral.